GACGAACGCUGGCGGCGUGCUUAACACAUGCAAGUCGAACGGAAAGGCCCUGCUUGUGUGGGGUGCUCGAGUGGCGAACGGGUGAGUAACACGUGAGUAACCUGCCCUUGACUUUGGGAUAACUUCAGGAAACUGGGGCUAAUACAGGAUAGGAGCUCCUGCUGCAUGGUGGGGGUUGGAAAGUUUCGGCGGUUGGGGAUGGACUCGCGGCUUAUCAGCUUGUUGGUGGGGUAGUGGCUUACCAAGGCUUUGACGGGUAGCCGGCCUGAGAGGGUGACCGGCCACAUUGGGACUGAGAUACGGCCCAGACUCCUACGUGAGGCAGCAGUGGGGAAUAUUGCACAAUGGGCGGAAGCCUGAUGCAGCAACGCCGCGUGCGGGAUGACGGCCUUCGGGUUGUAAACCGCUUUCGCCUGUGACGAAGCGUGAGUGACGGUAAUGGGUAAAGAAGCACCGGCUAACUACGUG
RNAcentral lists this ribosomal RNA (468 nucleotides) under uncultured bacterium. Its description in RNAcentral is "partial 16S ribosomal RNA". It matches the Rfam family "Bacterial small subunit ribosomal RNA", at positions 28 to 507 of the family's 1533-position model. The record is from RNAcentral.